UACGGAGGAUGCGAGCGUUAUCCGGAUUUAUUGGGUUUAAAGGGUGCGUAGGCGGCUUUGCAAGUCAGAAGUGAAAUCCAUGGGCUUAACCCAUGAACUGCUUUUGAAACUGCAGAGCUUGAGUGGAGUAGAGGUAGGCGGAAUUCCCGGUGUAGCGGUGAAAUGCUUAGAGAUCAUACAGAACACCGAUUGCGAAGGCAGCUUACCAAGCUACUUCUGACGUUGAGGCACGAAAGCGUGGGGAGCAAACAGG
This 253-nucleotide ribosomal RNA is filed under the name uncultured bacterium. RNAcentral describes it as "partial 16S ribosomal RNA". It matches the Rfam family "Bacterial small subunit ribosomal RNA", at positions 524 to 776 of the family's 1533-position model. The record is from RNAcentral.